AAAAAUUGGAGGGGCAAAACACCACAAAAACCCUAAUCCCCAAAAUCAAAGCAAAAUCAGUGUUCGAAGAGGCGAAGGGAGAGGAUUGAAUCGUUACCUGAGCCGCCGAAUCACCGCCAAAGGUGAGCUUUCGUUUGGUGAGGCGAAGGGAGAGGAUUGAAUCGUUACCUGAGCCGCCGAAUCACCGCCAAAGGUGAGCUUUCGUUUGGGAUUUUCCUUUUAAAUCUCUGUUUUAUUUCGUCUUUGGGUGUGAGAUUGUGAGAGACAGAUGAAUGAUUGGGGGUGAGAGAGAGGGUUGAGGUUGAGGACGCGUUU
RNAcentral lists this long non-coding RNA (315 nucleotides) under Lathyrus oleraceus (garden pea). RNAcentral's name for it is "Pisum sativum (pea) long non-coding RNA (PSAT_LNC021645)". Lineage: Eukaryota; Viridiplantae; Streptophyta; Magnoliopsida; Fabales; Fabaceae. The record is from RNAcentral.